This 253-nucleotide ribosomal RNA is filed under the name uncultured bacterium. RNAcentral describes it as "partial 16S ribosomal RNA". It matches the Rfam family "Bacterial small subunit ribosomal RNA", at positions 524 to 776 of the family's 1533-position model. The record is from RNAcentral.
UACGGGGGGGGCAAGCGUUGUUCGGGAUUACUGGGCGUAAAGGGCUCGUAGGCGGCCAACUAAGUCAUACGUGAAAUCCCUCGGCUUAACCGGGGAACUGCGUCUGAUACUGGAUGGCUUGAGUUCGGGAGAGGGAUGCGGAAUUCCAGGUGUAGCGGUGAAAUGCGUAGAUAUCUGGAGGAACACCGGUGGCGAAGGCGGCAUCCUGGACCGAUACUGACGCUGAGGAGCGAAAGCCAGGGGAGCAAACGGG